UGUUCCAUGGUGUAAUGGUUAGCACUAUGGACUUUUAAUCCAGUAAAUCGAGUUUGAAUCUCAAUAGAACCU
This is a non-coding RNA of Caerostris darwini, 72 nucleotides long. The record is from the annotation of a GenBank genome assembly. NCBI's taxonomy places the organism in Eukaryota, Metazoa, Arthropoda, Arachnida, Araneae, Araneidae.